Molecule: ribosomal RNA, 696 nt
Filed under: uncultured bacterium
Lineage: Bacteria
Description: bacterial SSU rRNA
Rfam family: Bacterial small subunit ribosomal RNA
Source: RNAcentral
AACGCUAGCUACAGGCUUAACACAUGCAAGUCGAGGGGAAACGACAUCGAAAGCUUGCUUUUGAUGGGCGUCGACCGGCGCACGGGUGAGUAACGCGUAUCCAACCUGCCCACCACUUGGGGAUAACCUUGCGAAAGUAAGACUAAUACCCAAUGAUAUCUCUAGAAGACAUCUGAAAGAGAUUAAAGAUUUAUCGGUGAUGGAUGGGGAUGCGUCUGAUUAGCUUGUUGGCGGGGUAACGGCCCACCAAGGCGACGAUCAGUAGGGGUUCUGAGAGGAAGGUCCCCCACAUUGGAACUGAGACACGGUCCAAACUCCUACGGGAGGCAGCAGUGAGGAAUAUUGGUCAAUGGGCGAGAGCCUGAACCAGCCAAGUAGCGUGUAGGAUGACGGCCCUAUGGGUUGUAAACUGCUUUUAUAGGGGAAUAAAGUUCGGAACGUGUUCCGUUUUGUAUGUACCCUACGAAUAAGGAUCGGCUAACUCCGUGCCAGCAGCCGCGGUAAUACGGAGGAUCCGAGCGUUAUCCGGAUUUAUUGGGUUUAAAGGGAGCGUAGGUGGAUGUAUAAGUCAGUUGUGAAAGUUUGCGGCUCAACCGUAAAAUUGCAGUUGAUACUGUAUGUCUUGAGUGUACAAGAGGUGGGCGGAAUUCGUGGUGUAGCGGUGAAAUGCUUAGAUAUCACGAAGAACUCCGAUUG